This 453-nucleotide long non-coding RNA is filed under the name Brassica napus (rape). Its description in RNAcentral is "long non-coding RNA (BNAP_LNC003145)". Lineage: Eukaryota; Viridiplantae; Streptophyta; Magnoliopsida; Brassicales; Brassicaceae. The record is from RNAcentral.
AUCGGACAAGCCACGACACAUGUCUUAAUGCUAACAAAGAAACUCUCUCGUCUCUCAAAGUUCUCACCUUUUGAGAACGGAGAUCUUCUUCAUCCUCUCUUUACAGUUUACAUCACUCUCUCACUAACCAUCUUCAAGCUCUCACCUUUUUGUUCCGUCUCUGGAGAAAACCGAACAUAACAUGAGAAAGACAUCUGUUUCAUCUUAUUCUAGCAGCUUCGGUGGUGGGUUUCUAAGCCCCGGAGCUCCUCCGAGCUAUACCGAUAACAACAAAGGAUGGAGCUCCGAGAGAGUUCCACCUCCUUCCUCUUCUUCCAUUUCCACAAUCAAAGCCCCUCGUCGCCGCAUCGGCUCCGCCUCCGCUUUAACGACGCCGCUUUACAGCGGCAGAGCGAUACCGUCGAAAUGGGAAGACGCCGAGCGGUGGAUUUGUAGCCCCGCGGUGACAANNNN